CGCCCUGCAGUCUAUUAAUAACAUAGCUGAAUAAUGAUCCCCAUGCAGUCAGUAAGCUCUAGAUAGAUUUAAAGUCUAAGGUACGGACCAUUUGAUUUGAGGUGGCAGUCUGCGAUGUUUGAGAGAAACUAUUCUUAGCCUGAUUUUUGCCUUAAACAAAAAUUGAAUUGAUUGAAAACAAUAAUCUUGUCCACUUAUUUGCCAUUAGGAACAAAAAUUUCCAACAGAAAUAUUUAGCAUUAAAUGAUCAUGAUGAAUUAUAAACGGACGUAGUUUUUGGGGGGCCGGGGGUUUGCAUGUAAAUCCCAUAUCUGACCGGAAAGUCUGUUUCGCCGAACAGAUAUAUUGAACACUUUUUUCAAGGCCCGGCUACAACCAACCUGCUUCGUGUGGCCUUUAUCGACCAUAAUUCAUAAAUUCGUUGUCAUUUCAGACUCAUUCGUAUCCUUUGGUUGAGUUGGAACCCC
Molecule: long non-coding RNA, 467 nt
Filed under: Mytilus galloprovincialis (Mediterranean mussel)
Lineage: Eukaryota; Metazoa; Mollusca; Bivalvia; Mytilida; Mytilidae
Source: RNAcentral